This 182-nucleotide ribosomal RNA is filed under the name Jeotgalibacillus marinus. RNAcentral's name for it is "partial 16S ribosomal RNA". It matches the Rfam family "Bacterial small subunit ribosomal RNA", at positions 1354 to 1533 of the family's 1533-position model. Lineage: Bacteria; Bacillati; Bacillota; Bacilli; Caryophanales; Caryophanaceae. The record is from RNAcentral.
AUGCCGCGGUGAAUACGUUCCCGGGCCUUGUACACACCGCCCGUCACACCACGAGAGUUUGUAACACCCGAAGUCGGUGGGGUAACCAUUUGGAGCCAGCCGCCUAAGGUGGGACAGAUGAUUGGGGUGAAGUCGUAACAAGGUAGCCGUAUCGGAAGGUGCGGCUGGAUCACCUCCUUUCU